RNAcentral lists this ribosomal RNA (253 nucleotides) under uncultured bacterium. RNAcentral describes it as "partial 16S ribosomal RNA". It matches the Rfam family "Bacterial small subunit ribosomal RNA", at positions 524 to 776 of the family's 1533-position model. The record is from RNAcentral.
UACGAAGGGUGCAAGCGUUGCUCGGAAUUAUUGGGCGUAAAGCGCACGUAGGCGGCUUAGCAAGUCGGAUGUGAAAUCCCUCGGCUCAACCAAGGAAGUGCAUCCGAAACUGCUGAGCUUGAGUACGAAAGAGGAUCGCGGAAUUACCGGUGUAGAGGUGAAAUUCGUAGAUAUCGGGAGGAACACCAGUGGCGAAGGCGGCGAUCUGGGUCGAUACUGACGCUGAGGUGCGAAAGCGUGGGGAGCAAACAGG